RNAcentral lists this long non-coding RNA (3704 nucleotides) under Homo sapiens (human). RNAcentral describes it as "HSALNT0036458". Lineage: Eukaryota; Metazoa; Chordata; Mammalia; Primates; Hominidae. The record is from RNAcentral.
UGGACUCUUACAUCUGCUCCUUUAUGUGCAGAAACACAGGGAGAGAGUCAAGCCAAGUGCGGCUCCCCUACUUGGCCAAUGUGAAUAGUAAAGUGCUGUGUGAGUGGAAAAGCAGUUAGAUUUCCUAACUUUACUACACUGGGAUUUCCCAGGAAAGCACAGGCUGGAAGAAUGAUGUAAUGGGUAUAUUUUACAUAUGUUUUCAAUAAGCAUGCCUGUGUGGGCCAUUCAUGGAAAAACCCUUCCCAUCAAGUCACACCACGUGGGACAGAGUCUGGCAGUACCAGCAGUGCCCCAGUCCCCAUAGUCUCCUGUUUCAGUCGUUAAAAGGCGAUUUUGACUCUCCCUUUGUAGAAAUCAUACAGCUUCUGUAUCUGAUCAGAAGGUCAACAACACAAUCAUCUGAUGUUAGGCUAGAGGUAAGAACAGCCGGCUCUGGGGUUCCCGGAGGAAGGAAUUGCCAAUCUCGCCUGAAAGAACUGGGUCUGUGACUCCCAGGUGUGAAGCCACUGGCGGAGUAUCCAGGGGCCGAGGGCUGAUGCAUUUCUCCUCAUCCACCUCACUCUGACCCCGGAUGCCAGUUAACCCAGGAGAGGUCCCUGAACACAACCCCGAUGCAAGCAAAGGUGGUGGACAAUACGGAGGAGGAUGAAGAGGCAUGGUCCACCACAACAGGUUGCCCAGAGAGGCUGUAGAGAGUUUAAAAGGAAGGAGUGAGAGGGAUCACCAGACCAUGAAAAGGCUGAAGGACAAAACCGUGGAGAAAGUACAAGCAUACCUGGGAGAUACCGAGGGUUCAGAUCCAGACCACCACAAUCAAGCAUCCCCUGUGGGAGGAAGGAGGAGCUCAAGGUCAGGAGAGCACUGUUCCCUGGGAGGCAUGGAAAUUAAGGCUCAAGAAGGUGACUUGCCCAAGACUUCAUAGCCCACAACUGCUGGAGGUGGGAUUUGAACUCGUCUGCGAGGUUCGAAAUCACCCCAGCCCAGUGCCUGCUCCUGACAGAGACUCAGCAAGUGCAGCUCUGCGUGUUUCCUCCAUCACAGAGGCCUGCUUAGGGGAAAAAUCUUGCUGAAGAAAAGUGGCCGAUGGUUUCGAGAGAAGAGACGCUUAUUCAUGUAAUUCUCAAGAAUCCCAUCUCCGGCUUAGAAGGACACCUUUUCUGAUUUCCCAUUCAAAGGGACUGACGUACACUCAGGGGCUGAGGCAGCAGCUGUUUUUGCUGUGCACAGACUGGAGAGCGAUGUGUGAGUGAAGUCUGUGGCCACUUCUCUCCUCCCCCGAGCCUUCUGGGGUUUGGGUUUAUGACUCCAGAGGCGGAGAAGCGUGUUCCCUUUCUGUGCGGAUCCCGUCAUUGACAGAGUCUGUUUUAGAAGAGCAUUUUUAGAUGGCAGCGAACGUUCCAGACCCCAAAGCAUUCUCUUUACAGCACCGUCUAGCUUGGGUGGGGAUAGGGUGGGUUUGUGAACACGUGUGUGCGUGAGAGUGUGAGUGUGUGCAAGUGUGUGCACGUGUGUGUCAGUCCCUCUGUCUGGCUCCCACUGCUAGCCACCUCUGUCAUAUCCUGACUAUUUCGCCGGGGCAUCGUCCAGCCAUAGGAAUCUUCAGCAAACCUACAGUUCAGACGAACGCCCUCGUUUCUGCCCUGAGAAGAAAGUCCGUUGAGUCUGAGGGCUCCCGAGUCAUUCUCUCAAGGCAUUCAUUCAGUUUUGUUUCCCCUGGUGCUACCCUCUCUGAAGUCGUUAUUACUCAUUAGGUGUAUUGCACAUACAGAAAAAGUAGGUCAAGGAUUAAAAAAAAAAAGAAAAAACAUCUCUGGGAGAAGCACAAGUAUUGUGUAAAGCUAUUUUGAACUUGCGUGAGAUUUUUCAAGGGGGAAAUGUUUUGUGCAGAGACGGCUGCUGCCACAGCUGACUUACCAAUGAAUGCCCGUGUCUGAGCCUUUCAUACGCUAACCACGUGACCUUGGAAUUCCAUUUUGAAAUGAUAAUUGUGCCCAGUGGGGUGAGCAGCCUCUCAAUCCAGGUUCUAUACAAUAUAGGUCACCUCGAGGAUCCUCAGUAGAACAGGAACAAGAGAAUCCUGAGAAAUCUCUGUAAAGAAACAGAAAGAAUGAGAGAGAAAACUGUGUGUCUAACCACCGGGCCCCUGGGCCCUAUGUGCCACCCAGGUUUGGAGCAAGGCUGCGGGGCAGAUGAUGUCCAGGAGAGCCUCAGAAAGUCCGGGCUCUAGAAAAAAAUACGUUCCAGCUCACUCUGCUCUGACCCUGCAUCUGCUCUGUGCUGAAAGCUUUGUUGCUGCCAUGAAUAUAUUUAAGGGGAAUAAAAUGUGCAGUGUCAAAGCGACUGGCUUGAAGUGGGCUGGAUGCAUCCUAGGCUCCGCGAGGGAAAAGGCCUCUAGCUGGCAGUUGACAGAAGGGGGAAGGCAGUGAGGAGUGGGCCCACCCACGGGAGUCUGGGCAUGAGGCGGGUCCUGGUUCCCAGGCUGCCCCGUGGGAAUAUGCUCCAUGGGCUGGGGCUGCUGUGCUGGCUGCUCUUGCCCCCAGGGGGUCACUACGCUGGGCUUCUCCAUCAGGGCUAUCACGAUAUUGCCCAGGGUUUACAGGUUUACAGGCAUUAUCUCACUCAGUGUUGUUUUGCUCCCUUUCACAAAGAAAGGAAGGAAAAGAGAGGCAGGGGGUGAGAGAGGAAGCCAGACUAGCAUUCAGCUCUGCUAGUUGUUCCUCGCCUGGGUUAGGCUUCCCUGGAAAGUAGCCUGCAUUGUCUUGCACCUCCUUCAUCUGACAGCCAGGUGCUCCUACUGGAGCAUAACUGUAGUAGGCCAUUUCUGUGCCAGUUGACUGAGAAGGCAGUGUCCCUGCUUUUCUGGAAACUUCCACACAACACAAUUCCCGAUGGAAAGCAUUUAACAAUUAUGGGUGGGGCUCUGAUCAAAAAGUAAGCUUUAGAAAAGGUUAACAGCUAAGCUGGGCAUGGUGGCUCACACCUGUAAUCCCAGCACUUUAGGAGGCCGAGGCGUGCAGAUCACCUGAGGUCAGGAGUUCGAGACCAACCUGGCCAUCGUGGCAAAACUCUGUCUCUACUAAAAAUACAAACAACAACAACAACAAAAGAAAAAAAAAUUAGCCGAUCAUGGUGGCAGGCACAAGCCUGUAAUCCCAGCUACUUAGAAGGCUGAGGCAGGAGAAUCGUUUGAACCUGGGAGGUGGAGGUUGCAGUGAGCCGAGAUUGUACUACAGCACUCCAGCCUGGGCAAAAGAGUGAGACGCUCUCUCAAAUUAAAAAACAACAAAAAAAGGUAACAGCAAGUGGUUACAACCCAUGAAUCUUUAAUCAUUUUAAAUAGUAAAAGUGUUUGGAAACUCUUAUAAUAUUAGAGCUAAAACACACCUUAGGGAUGAUUUAAGGCACUUUUUCAAACGAUAAACAAGAUCCAGAUAAUUACGUCAAAUAUUUAUAGUAACCCAUCUUAUUGGUGCCAGUUUGAGAAUAGAACCCACAUUUGCAAAUAAUCUCAACACCUUCUGUUUCACCUCACUUUUCAAAGGUCCUUGAGAAGGGUAUUUGCACACUGCCUGCAAGGUAGCUGCAAUGGCUAUAAAGCUAUUGCGUAGAUAGAAUUCCAAUUGCGUAGAUAGAAUUCUACUCUAUCUGUGUUAACCUAGCUAAAAUUAAUGUGCUGUGAUAAAACUCACCAACUAAACAUG